AACCGAUUGGCUUGUGACCCUUUGGUAAUUCAGUAAGUUCCCAUGUACCAUUUUCCUGUAUUGAAGUAAUCUCCUGUUCCAUUGCUCUUCUCCAAUUUUCAUUCUUAGAGGCCUCUUUAAAAGAGGUGGGUUCCUCCAAAGAAAGAAAACAUAAGCUGGCUUCUUCUAUUUCUCGAGUAUUGUUGUAAAUCUCUUGAAGAGAUCUGUAUUUCCGUGGUUCACUUGAG
RNAcentral lists this unclassified non-coding RNA (227 nucleotides) under Hevea brasiliensis (rubber tree). The record is from RNAcentral. Lineage: Eukaryota; Viridiplantae; Streptophyta; Magnoliopsida; Malpighiales; Euphorbiaceae.